Molecule: ribosomal RNA, 497 nt
Filed under: uncultured bacterium
Lineage: Bacteria
Description: partial 16S ribosomal RNA
Rfam family: Bacterial small subunit ribosomal RNA
Source: RNAcentral
GAUGAACGCUGGCGGCGUGCCUAAUACAUGCAAGUCGAGCGAACAGACGAGGAGCUUGCUCCUCUGACGUUAGCGGCGGACGGGCGAGUAACACGUGGAUAACCUACCUAUAAGACUGGGAUAACUUCGGGAAACCGGAGCUAAUACCGGAUAAUAUAUUGAACCGCAUGGUUCAAUAGUGAAAGACGGCUUUGCUGUCACAUAUAGAUGGAUCCGCGCCGCAUUAGCUAGUUGGUAAGGUAACGGCUUACCAAGGCAACGAUGCGUAGCCGACCUGAGAGGGUGAUCGGCCACACUGGAACUGAGACACGGUCCAGACUCCUACGGGAGGCAGCAGUAGGGAAUCUUCCGCAAUGGGCGAAAGCCUGACGGAGCAACGCCGCGUGAGUGAUGAAGGUCUUCGGAUCGUAAAACUCUGUUAUUAGGGAAGAACAAAUGUGUAAGUAACUAUGCACGUCUUGACGGUACCUAAUCAGAAAGCCACGGCUAACUACGUG